GGCGGCAUCGAUUAUCGGUAGGUCGCUGGGUUCUCAGCUCAGAGAGCAGGGUUCGAUUCCCUGUGCCGCUACCA
RNAcentral lists this transfer RNA (74 nucleotides) under Patescibacteria group bacterium. Its description in RNAcentral is "tRNA-Glu". It matches the Rfam family "tRNA". From Rfam's summary of the family: Transfer RNA (tRNA) molecules are approximately 80 nucleotides in length. Their secondary structure includes four short double-helical elements and three loops (D, anti-codon, and T loops). The record is from RNAcentral.